CCUUUCGUCCCUCAAAACUCUCUCAAGGUUCUUCGGAACCUAGACCACCUCCUACCUUUUCACCGCCCUUUCACCGGAAUCUAUGGCUUCUCAGACCAUGGAUGGUCUAUCCUCACCCCUCUUCACCAUUAGACCUUGAGUGUUUGACUUUCUGAAGUCUGACCUUAAUGGUUCUUUUUAAGAUCUUAUCAGAUCUUUGGUUCCAGGGCCUCUUUGACCUUUGCUCCUGCAUAUUCAAGCAUUAUGAGCAUUUCCUGACCUCUUCGACUCAGGAUCUGACUUUCCUCAUGGUCUUUCUCAUUUCUAAGGUUUCUCCAAAACCCUAAGCUAUUCGAGGUUUUCUCUGGUUGUCUUCUUAAGAUCUGUGAUAUAUUUAGGCUCCCCUAGAUGUUUAAAGUGUUUUCCCCAGAACUUCUCUUUUGAAAUUGCUUUUCUUCAAUCUAGGGUUUCUAAAAGUUUUUCAAGGCAUCUUUUUAAUCUUCCUAUUCUUUUCUUUAUGUGUGUAUUUGUCUAUAUUAUGCUCGUGUGUCCUCUUUUCUACCGCGCAUGUUGUUCUUCUAUUUUUCUUUCUAUACCUG
RNAcentral lists this long non-coding RNA (578 nucleotides) under Nicotiana benthamiana. RNAcentral describes it as "long non-coding RNA (NBEN_LNC036187)". The record is from RNAcentral. Lineage: Eukaryota; Viridiplantae; Streptophyta; Magnoliopsida; Solanales; Solanaceae.